GCAAACUUGGUCAUUUAGAGGAAGUAAAAGUCGUAACAAGGUUUCCGUAGGUGAACCUGCGGAAGGAUCAUUAUUGAAUAAACUUAGUUGGGUUGUUGCUGGCUUUUAAAAGCAUGUGCACGCCUAAUCCGUUUUUAACCACCUGUGCACCUUGUGUAGACCUUGAACACAUUCUCGAGACUUGAACUCGGUUUGAGGACUGCUGGUUUCGAAAGAUCAGCUUUUCCUCGGUGAUGAUUGAGGUCUAUGUCUUAUAUUUACACCCCCCAAGUAUUGGAAUGUCAUCUUAUAAGGCCAGUGUGCCUUUAAAACACAAUACAACUUUCAACAACGGAUCUCUUGGCUCUCGCAUCGAUGAAGAACGCAGC
RNAcentral lists this unclassified non-coding RNA (368 nucleotides) under uncultured fungus. Its description in RNAcentral is "partial contains small subunit ribosomal RNA, internal transcribed spacer 1, and 5.8S ribosomal RNA". The stretch from base 1 to 73 matches the Rfam family "Eukaryotic small subunit ribosomal RNA", at positions 1759 to 1831 of the family's 1831-position model. The record is from RNAcentral. Lineage: Eukaryota; Fungi.